UGGCUCAGUCAUUAAGUACUUGACUCUCAGUUUCAGCUCAGGUCAUGAUCUCACAGUUUGGCUUUGAGCUCUGCUCUGAAGGUGGAGCCUGCUUGGAAUUCUAUCUCCCUCUCUCUCUGCCGUUCCCUGCUAGUGUGUGAGUUUGCACACAUAUGCUCUGUCUCUCAAAUAUGAAACUUAAAAAUAUAUACAAAUUAGGGGCACCUGGGUAUCUUAAGUAUUUGACACUUGGUUUCAGGUCAGCUCGUGAUCUGAGUUUGGGUUUGAGCUCUGCUCUGUGAACGUGAAGGGUACUUAAAAUUCUCUCUCUGACCUUCCCUGCUCGUGUGCGUACGUGCAUGCUCUCGCUCGCGCGCUCUCUCUCUCUCUCAAUAAGGAAAAGGAUAAAUCAGUUUUAGCAGGUGAGACCUAGGCAUGCGGGGUGUUCCAGGUGAUUCCAAUGUGUAGCCGGGGUUGAAACUAGCUGUAUGAAGGACAUUUUGGGGCAGCCCAGGGAGGAAACAUGGGGACAGCACUUAUGACGCCUGGAUUCCAAGCCUCUCAUUGUGGGACCAACGGGGAUCCCCAUCUUCAGGGGCACGGUUUCCAAGACUCUGAUGUGGGUGGCCAAGGUGGUAGGAAGCACCACUGUUUAUGACUAUCGUUCCCAAAGUGUGGUCCUAGCAUCAUCUGGGAACUUGAUAGAAAUGCACAUUUUGAGCCCAACCCCGGACCUGCUGAAUCAAACUCUGAGCGGGGCCCAGGAGUCUGUAUUUUAACAAGCCCUCCACGUGAGUCUGUGUGUGGACAUUUGAGAACGGUUUGGUCCAGGUGAAGGUGGUCACGUGGGACAAAGUCAGGUGGACCCGCGUCUUCACUCAGCACCUCCGCCCUCCCUUUGUAGCUGGGAAACCACUCUAAGCCUCAGUUUCCUGAUCUGUAAAAUGCGACUGUGAGGAUUAUGAUAUUGAUGGCCCCCAGUCUGGCCACAGGGCCUGCGGGGCACAGAACAAGGCAGGAGGGACGGAGCUCUUCAUAGGAGGGCAAGAAGAGACACAGGGAAGGGACUGCUUCCAGCUGCCCUGCCCCAACCCCCUCCUCUCUGCCCCCCCCACCCCCUUCUUGAGCCUGCCUGGCCAGUGGAUCUAUGGGUAAGAAUUCAUGGAAACAGCAGGCAGGGAGAGGGGGAGGGGCAGAGAGGGAGUAGAGGUUUGCUUUAUUAAAUCUCAAUUUAGAGUAGUGACUCUGACAUCUGUAAUGUGUGCUGGAAAUGGGCUGUUUGUCCUCUUUACCAAGAAUGAGCUGCUGGCCCCUCUGCAGAUAGGGCAAGCUGAUUUAAGGGUUUGGUUACUAGUCAUUAACCCCUCGACACAGAGGUUAGUUACAGUGCUGAGGGCUGCGGGGCACUGAUGCUAAAUCAGCAAUGAAGGGGAGUCCUUUCCAAAAUGAUCUCGUGUUCACUAAGCACAGAACCAGGUACAUGAAGGGAAUGAAAACCUGUAUAAACAUUCUGUUUGCCAUAGCUGUGAAGGAGCACAAGUGUGGAAAGCAAGGUCCCUAGCUCAAGGCCUCCCCUCCCCCUCCUCGUAAGCCCAUUUCCCUGGUGGAGGGGAACAGGUGGCGCUAAGCACGUGAGUCCCCCAGGUGUGUGUGGGGAGGCGUGUAACCGGCACUCAGCACCUCGAUCCAGUUUAAUUAGCAAACACGCCUUCGUGCCCACUAGCGUGUGGCCUGAGACGGGCAAUGGGGAAACAGGGGAGAAAGACCCCUGCAUCCUCCCUCGGGGAGCCUGGUGGGGAGACAGGCCUGCUGUGAAGGGAAGAGAAUAGCCUCGUGGCCAGGCUUAGAGCAGAGUAAGAGCAGGUCAAAGUGCCGGAGGGGCCAGAGCUGGAGUGAUUUACUCCGUCUGGGGCUAGUUGGUGAGUGAGGAGUUUCGAGAAGAGCCGAGGAGAGCGUAGUUUUCCCAGACAAGUGACAGGGGUGAAGGACUGCUGUCAGAAGGGCAGGACAAGCCAAGUCAGAGGCUCGGCACUACCUUGCCAUGUUGGGUGAAAGUGGGGUCCCUACGGGGGUGGGGAGAGAAGGCCAGACGAGCAGCUCGGGGCUGAAGAGUUCAGACAGCACACGUGAGCUCUGACUUCAGGUUAACUGUCCCUCCACUUGUGAGCGCCUAUGAGGAAUUCUCAGAGUGGUUUGGGUCAGAACCAUCCAGGGUGCCCGGAAAGUGAGCUGGGGUAGAGGUGACACGGCCACCUCUGCAGGCUUGUUUGGAGGAGGUCGCUCAUGAGGCCGUGGGGAGAAAAGCGAGCUUUGGACUAGGGUGUUGUGUUGGAAUAUCAGACUGAGUAGAGACGACUAAGCAAUGCCCGUUUUCUGCCCCCCACUGUGCACCUGAGCAGGACAGCCAGGCAAACAGCUGCUCAGCACGAUUUCUGGGCUUGGAAAGUUUGACUUAGAUCCACAGCUUGUGUGUCUCAUUCUGGGCCUUGUACCCACAGGGGUGAGGAAGGGGCAGCCAUCUCUCCACCAUGGUCUAUGAGGCUGUUUGCAGACCAGUCAACCCAGUCAGCAACCUGAACCCCUCACCUAGCUCUGCCUUCUCUUCCUGUGUCAUUCUGAGCUCCUGGUGUCGCCUGGCCUCCGUGUUUCCCCUGUCAGCCCCUCUGUCCCAGGAGAGAGCCAGGCAGCAGGGGUCAUCCUGGGCUUCCCACAUGGAAACCUAGCAGGAACGGAUUACCAGUGAGAGCAGAGACAAACCGGAGGAGGCCGCUGCAGGAUUCUUGAUGCUAGGAACUUUAUCUGCUAUCUUGCAACAGCAUUUUGCCUCACUCGGACCAUAAUGGUAGGCCUAUUUCAGUUGGCUGGUCAGGGUACUCCAUUGCCCUGGUUCUAGAAUGGACAUGUUGAUCAGUCUGGGCCAAUAAAAGUCCUCCCUCAGAUUUUCUAUUUGUGGGAUCAUGCUGGAAGGCUCUAGGCCCCGAGCUACUGUUGCUUUCUUCCUCAGGUAAAUCAGGGAAGUCCCUUCCCCUUGAAAAUAGAGACUAAGGUUACAUAUGAAGGGAACCAUAGCCAGAAUAGGAGGAGGGCAGGCAGGAGGGAGAGAGAGAAGAGGAGGAGGAGGAGAGGGGAAGGGAAGGGAAGAGUACAGCAAGCUUCAUUCCUGCCCCUGGAUCCAGCCCUGCCUGAGGUUGGAGACAGACGUGGACUUGUCCGUUAGAGGAGAUAAAAACUUUUUUGCAUUUGAGUUCGGUCUUUGUCAUUUGCAAUUAAGAGUCUUGAUUAAUCUAGAAUACCCAGGAGACCUUUCAAGAACCCCAAAGGGGAUGAACCAAAAGGAUCAAAUCACAGUGGUCUUUAGCUACUGGGUGAAUGUAAGUGGCAUGUUUUAUUAUAAAGCAAGGCACCUGUUUUAAUAAUUACUGAAGUUCAUGAAUUUAUGGUUGUUUUUUUUUUUUUUUUUAACAAGAUAAAGAUCCCCCUCAUGUGCAUGCCAGUAUGCUUUCUUUAGUGGGUGAAAAGCUAGUGGGCCUGGAGGUUCACAUAGCCUUAGUAAGCACCUAGGAGUGGGCUGAGCAUCUGAAUAUUACCUAUCAUGUAAGUAUAAGAGAAGCUGAGAAUUUCAGAGGAAGCCCAAGUUAUAGGAAAAUAAGAUUGGUGUGGACCAGGAUGAGACUAGGAACAGGUGCCCUGGACUGGGAUCACUGCCUGAGCUGUCUUUUUCUGCAGCCUCCUGUGUCUGGGGAGCAGUGCUUGCUAAUUGCCCUGACCUGGACCUUAGCUGCUCAUCCGGGUCCUGCUUCCCCUCCCUCGUUCCUCCCGCUCUCUGCCUGUGCAUUUCACAACAAGGUGAGAGGGUGCAGGGCCAGGGACUGGGGCAGGCAGUUGUGAAGAGGUGGGAGGGGAGCGGGGGUCAUCGCACUUGGCCUACAAUGAGCUGGAGAGACACAGAUGAGGCAGCUCUGUGGCUAAGACAUGGAUCCAUAAACUCUUACUGCUGAGGCCCCUGGAGCUGUCCCCAUUCCUGCCACCCCUACCCUGGUCAAACUUCCUUUUGAGUCUAUGUAGUGAAUUACCCAGGUUUUCUAUAAUUGCAUCCACCCUUCAUUAAAAAAAAUUUUUUUUUAACGUUUAUUCAUUUUUGAGACGGAGAGCAUGAAUGGGGGAAGGUCAGAGAGAGAGGGAGACACAGAAUCUGAAACACGCUCCAGGCUCUGAGCUGUCAGCACAGAGACCAACGUGGGCUCGAACUCACGGACCGUGAGAUCAUGACCUGAGCCGAAGUCGGACGCCCAACCAACUGAGCCACCCAGGCGCCCCCCACCCUUCAUUUUUAACCAAAGCUGCCCACGUUUGUUUCAGUUGUUGCUGUUGAUAAUAACCCCCUCCCCUUGCAUGAGCAAACAGCUCAUUUGUUCAUCAGGACAUUCGCUAUCUUCAAGAAAUUUCAAACACCUGCUGACUGUUGGGUCCCGUUUUGGUCCCUAUUUUGGAAGGUACUGCUCAGAGUCCUUCAUAGCUGUGUCUGCUUGUCUGAUACAAGCUGUGUCUACCCACUGACAAACAGCUAAAAUGGAGCAUAUCAUGUGCACUUAGGAAAAUGCCCUGGCAUUCUUCAUUUCCAAAACACAACCGUCUGCCAACUCACUAUCAGCUGGUGACAGUCAAUGCAUGCUCUUCAACCACUUGAACAGAUUGACUCACUGCUCUGUCCUAUGAAACUCCUCCUGUGUUCCCCUCCCGACAGAGCUAUUACAUGUCCCUGCAUUGAUAGUGUCAGAAUUGGCCACAUGCCUUUAACGAAUGGGAGUGGGAGAGACCUGCUCCAUUUCCAAUCAAAAGCUUUAAGAGCAAUCGUGAUCUACCACAUCUCUCUUCACCCUCUGCCAUCGGACUGACAGCAUCCCAGAUGGGGGCUGCUGCUUCGGUCCCAGAAAAAGGAGAGGUGACACAGCUGGAGCUAAACCAUGAUGACCACAGAGCAUGAGCAGGAAAUAAACAUUUCUUGUAAGUCACUGAGAUUUGGGGACCAUCAGCCUAAGCUGAAUGAUAAAUUGAUACUAUUGGAGGGGUGCUCUAAAAUAUGGGACACUGACUUUGGGGCCAGAAAGUGGGCAGUGAGGAACCAUCCCCGGAAGCUGGAAAGAUGGCGUCCUCUUUUAUGCAGGGGUGAGACAUCUGGUAUAACUGUUGCCUGUAGUAACUUGGUGGACUGUGCUUUUGAUGAAGAGCAUGCCUGUGUUCCUAUUGGCUGCUUUUGACAAGGCUGCAAAAGGGGAGAUCAGGUCAGCAAAGACUUGGACAUGUAGCACGACCGAGAAAUGUUUGUUAUUGUAAGCCACUGGGAUUUCGAGGUCAUGUGUUACUGGAGCAUAACGAAGCCCGAACUGACCAACACGACGAUUGUGCUAUGCUCCCUCAGCAAAUAAUCACACAAAAAUAGAAUCACAGAAUGUGAUGCAGGAUCUUCAAACAACAAAGGACUUCAAAAUAGAUACCAAGAAAACUUGAUCUAGUGGAGGGAGGGGAAGGAGUUGACUCAAGAAAGAUUGACUCUGGAUCGGAACUGCCUAAUUUGAGUGCCCCCCCUCAUUGUUCACUAGCUGUGUGACUACAGACCAUGUAUUUGGCCCAUUCAUUCUUUCAAUUUACUCAUCUGUAAAAGCAGGUGAUAACGGUACCUGUCGCACAGAGUUGUUGGGGGAAUUGUAUGGACUGAGCACUGGUUAGUGUUAGCCAUUAGUAAUGUUUUGUAACCUUUCUCCCAUUGGGUUACCAGUUUCCUGAGGGCAGGAACCAUGCUGGUCUUGCUCAUUAUUGUAUCUAUUGUCCAAACUGCUGUUUGAUAUAUGACCUAUACUCAAAACAUAUUAGCUGAUUGAAUGUGUUAAACUAUUCCAGGGACCUUGAACUCCAGGUGAGAAAUCAUCCAGGCUUCCUCCCUAGUACCUGUUUCAUGUCACUCAAAGACUCCUCUAAGCUCUCUGUUCCGUUUUAGACCAGCACCUUGGACAACACCUUCCAUAUAACCUGUGGAUUAAUAGUUUAGACAGAAUGGGAUUCUCUCUCUCUAGGACAAGAUUCUCAAUAUUUGCUCCCAGGACACCAUCUGUGCCACACCUAAUUCUUACCUGGACCCAUGAGCAGUGAUGGGGGUGGAGGGGCAGAGAGCUCAAUCAUUUGAUGGCACACCACAACUGUUAUCCUGCACUGAAUUAAGAAGAGUUUAGAAUAUUCCCAGGGAGGAGGGGUUGGGGGAAGAGAGAGUGUAUGUGUGUGUUUGACCGAGAUUUUAACACGUGAAGUCAAUGAUGGUCUGGACUCACCAGCAAUCUCCGUGAUCAGGAAGACGGGGGACAGAGCAUGGAAACAAAACCUGCCCAUUAAGACCCAGUAGGGAGAAGUCCGCUCAAAGAUAUAGAGCUCAUGUGGAUGAAACCUUGGUGCCUGAUUCUGAUUUGCAAAUGUAAAUCUCUCUUGUGCCUGCUCCAACACUAUCUGCAUCUCUACCUCCCUCUGCCCUGAGAAGAGUAUGACCUACUUUACUGGGGAACAAAGGUCCAGCUCACGUCUUUACUGGAUGUCACAGACCUCAGACAGCAGUGCCAGAUAGAUUGCACUAUGAUAAGGUAUUAGGAAACUGAGGCCAUUUGGGGGGAGAUUUCUCACUACACCUCAAGACAGGUGCUCAAUCAAUAUUUUUGGAUAAAUGAGCAAAUGAAUGAAAUAACAGUGAAUUUGAAAAGCCAUUGUUCUAUAUUAGAAGAAUGGCCACAGUUUUCCCCAUUCUUGCAUGCAGACUCUGCCCUGUGAGGCUGGGCUUGGCCUUGUGACUUACUUUGGAAAAUGACAAAAUUUUCACAGCAAAUGUGAUGCAAGCAGAGACUCCUACAGGGAUGCUUGCCCUUUCUUGGUGCUCUUAGAAACCCCUGUCACUGCCAUCAUGUGAAGCAGCCUGGAUCAUCCUUUUGGAUGAUGAAACACACACGCUCCAGACACUCCCUCCUUCCAGCUGACAGUCAGCCAACCUCUGGAGGCCGACUCAACUAGCUGACCAGCAUUUGGCCACAGAUGCCUGAUUGAGCCCAGCUGAAACCAUCAGAAGGCAGGGCCAGCCCACCCCACCCCACCCAGCUCAAAUUGUUGACCUUCAGAGUCUUGAGCUAAAUAGAUGGAUGUAUCUUUUAGUUUAAAUUUUUAUUUUUUGAGAGCAUGCAUAUGUGUGCCAUGUACAAGCAGGAGAGGGGCGGAGGGAGAGAAUCUUAAGCAAGCCCCAUGCUUAGCACAGAGCCCGAUGCAGGCUCCGUCUCAUAAUCAUGACCUGGGCUGGAAUCGAGAGUUAGACAUUCAACCGACUGAGCCAACCAGGUGCUCCUAAAUGGAUGUAUCUUAAGCCACUAAAUUUUGGGGGGUAGUUUUCUAGGCAGCAAAAAUGAUACAGGUAGCUCCUUUCACAGGCAUGUUUGUUAAAUAUAUGGCACAGAGUGUAGGUACUCAGCAAACUGCUGUUACUUUUUCCUCCUGAUUAAUGAAAAUAAUUAUACUAAUGAUAUUAUUUAAUGACCUCUAUGUCAGUGAAGCUAAAUGCUUCACAGAUACUUCUUCCAUCCUCAAAAUAACCCUGGAUAAGUGGAAUAUUAUCAUCUCCUUUUUUAGGUGUGAAAACUGAAUUAGACGGAGGUAAAUGAAUGCAGAGCAGGUAGCAAAGCUGGUAACUGGACUCGGGUCACCUGGCCCCCAAACUCAGCUCCCAAGCACUACAAUACCCUGCUUCUUACUAAAGGAGGAAAGGAAGGUUCCAUUCUACCCCUUCCCACCUGCGGCCCCCACUCCUGAAGUGCUCUUCCUGCUCUGCUUUUGUUUGUGCACAUCCUACUCUUUGUCUGAGGUCCAGGUGCGGCUCCUCCUCCAGGAAGUCCUCCCUGACCUCUCCAGGUCACCAUGACCCAGCCCUUUUUCUCCUUGGCAGCUGGGACUCUGAUCCCUUCCAGUGGCAGAGGGGAAAGCUCCAGGAAGCCCUGCUGAUCCUGGGCUGAUGUGACCGGGAUGGGGUUCGUUCACCAUGAGAGCCUUAGGGGAGGGUACUUUGUGGGGCCCAAGGUGACUGCCGUAGCUGCAUACAAGGAGAUGGGGCUCCCCAAUCUGAUUCUGCCAUCCCUUUCCUUCCAGCCACCCUCUUAAACAUCUGGUUUAACUUUUGGUGUCUUCGUGGGGCUUUCUCGUCCUCUCUCAACCCCUAAUAUGCUCUGUGCUUCUUUCUUGGCCAAUCUUCCUUUGCUUCCCCCUGACUCUUAAACCUUCCCCAAAUGCCUACAGAACACCCAGUAUCUUUCAAGGUCAGUCCUUUCCAGCCAAAAAGGACUUGUCCUUUCUCUACCCACACAUGGCUUUUCCCGAAGGCUAAUGCUACUCUUGUGGGCUUUGACUCUGCUGCUUCUCCCAUCAGGGACACGAGGCGGAGCUGGCAGUCUCCUCUCCCUGCAGCAGCGCCCCUUCUCCACCCCAGCCCUCCAUCCCGUACACAAACCUUCCCUCCUUAGGCCUCAGCCAUCAGACCCCACUUAUGCGCUGCCCGCUUUGUGCUUCUCACCCAAGUGCUUCCCAGGCAGUCCUCUGCUACCCUCCCGCCGCUGCCAUCCCACUGGGCAGCUCCUCAGACGAUGAACGGCCCCACCUGCACUGGGACCUCAGCCACGGGGAGGGCCACCUGUACUGCGCUUCAGUCACUCACACCCGGGGACCCUGGCUCUCAGUGCCUGGAACUGUUGUCCCCUGAGAUCUUCCCCUCCUCUGCCCUAUGUUCCCCCAACCACCUGUCAUCUUGAUUACUCAUUCUCUCCCUUCCCGAAUGCCUGCUCAUCAAUCUGACACCUUUGGAACAAGAACCCUUUUUUUUUUUCUUUCCUCCCCUACCUUCAUUUCCCUCCCAGCCUCUCCACAUUCCUGAAAGGCUGCACCCACAUUCCUUCAACUAUCCCCUUGCCAGCACCUUCCAGUCUUUCGUUCCUUAUUCCUUCUGCCUUUGACACCCUGUGAGCCCCACCUCUGCAGCUGAGUCGCCUUCUCCACACCCUCUCCCGGGAUACUGGGCACACCCACGAAAAAUCAUGGCACGGGGCACAUGAGACCCUCCACAGACUCAUGGUUUUCAACCUCAGCUGGGCCCCUGCACACCGCCCUCCACGCUAGGCCUUCUGGUGUGCCUCUGAGCCACCCCCCUCCGCGGGGUUUUCUAUACCUUCUCUACUCUCGAAUACAAGCAGAGCCCCCAUGCUUGACUUGCAAGACAGCCUGCAAACUCAUUCCUCUUGGACAAACGUCCAUCCUACCCUUGAAGUCCAGGGCCAGCCCACUGGCCUUGGACCCCAUCCUCUCCUGUCCUUGCUCUUUCCCCACCCAAGAAUGUUGCUUCAUUCUCUCCCCAUAUGAGCCCUCUUUCUCUACGGACUUCCUCCUCUCAGCCUCAGACACGCUCCCAUAUUGCUUCCCUUAAGCAAAUCAGAAUACACAUGUUCUCUCAACAUCUCACCCCUCUUGGUAGCCAGCUUCUUUUUCUUUCCAUCUCUUCAUAGCAAACUGAGGGGGAAAGGCAUUUACACUUGCUCCUGGUCCUCACUUGCCUCCCUGGAUGAAGCCCUCUACCCACCAUAUCCUCCUGGACAUAUCAUGACCACCUAGCUGUGAGGGCUGAAACACUCCUAUAGCAUCAACCGUCCUCAUUCUUCACAGCAACUGCUAUAUAGUGACUGCGGAUUUACAGUGUACCAGGCGUCGGGCUGAGAGCCUUAUGUAUUUCUCCACCUAAUCCUCACAAAACCUCUAUCAGAUGGAUGUCUGUAACUCCAUUUUACAGAAGAAUCAGGCUUCGGGUGAAGGCUGCACCGAAGCUUAGGAGCACUGCAGAGUUCACCAUCCCUCUGUGCGGUGCCAACAUCUGUGCACGAACAUCCCCGGCGGUGCCCCACUGUGUGCCCGCACCCCCACCCUGAGCUGAUGCUUCGGGCUCCGAGUGCAACCGCCAAAAGGGAAACAGAGAUGGGUGGUUUCCGAAAGCAGGUGCCAAACCGGCUGCGCUCCCCCACCCAGCAUGGGGACAAGCUCCAGGCUGAUAGCCCCUGGACGCGCCUAAGGUUAUCUGCGAUGGAGCCUUGUGAUGGGUCUGUGCCCUGGGGAAGCAUCUAAAGCCCAAGAGAGGCAGUACCAGGAAAGAAAGCAGCACCGGUGGUCAGCAUGCCCUUCCCAGGUUCAAGCCUCUUCCUCUGCCCCGGGAGAGGUGUGAUAUAAUUGCACCUCCCAUCGUGUUCUGGGCCCUAGGAGCCUGCAUCUACCACUCACGGUGGUGGGGACUUGGGUACAUCUUUAUGUCUUUGAGCCAACAUCUUUGAAGUGGGAAUAAGGUGGCAAUGGGGCUUUAAGAUGAAAUGACACCUGGAAGGUAUCUAGGGAGACUUAAUACAUAGCAAUCACAUAUAUAUGACGUGUCUUUUAUAUAGAAAUACAUAUAUAUAAAUACAAUGUGUAUUAAUCAAACCAGUAACAUAACCUCCUAUAGUUAAGUAGUUUUUACUGUGAACUAGGUUUCAAGUUAGAUAUUCCAGGUAAAGAGAAAUUAAGUAUCCUGUCCCAGGUGACACAACUUCUAAGUGCAGAGUCAGGAUUCAUGCACAAGUAGCCCCCACACGGCCCAGGACCGGCUAGUUACUGUCCUUUAGUAGGGCUGUAUGGAAGAAAUGAGAUCGCAGGCUGGAUUGAAAACCAUGCAUUCACUCCUCACUGAGGAGCAGACAGAGUGCAGUGAGUUCUUGAGCCCCGGGACGCAGGCAGGAUACAUUAGACACCAGGUCUCCAUGGAUGCUUCUAGGGCUGUAAGGAUGAAGGGAGCCACUCCAGCCCUGGGGGUUCGGGGUCGGCGUGGGAUGGCUGGGAUGACUGCAGAUGCCGGCCCUCCCCAUCCCAGCCUUGAGUGUCCCACUUUUGCACACUCGGAGAGGCCACCCUCGGGUGUGAUCUAGCACCUGCAGGCAUGUUCUAUGCACGGGGUCAGAAGCUGUCAUGCACAGGCCAUCAGAGUGUCACCAGUCAUUCCGCCAGAAGUACCACUUACUCUGCCUCCUGUGGAAAUGACGGCCCUGGAAUAUGAGAUGCCACAGCUCAGGGGCCAAUAAACCUCUGAUGAGGCCCUGCAUCGUGCAGACCUGGAGGCGUCCGCCUAAGUUGCAAGGCUGGUUGAGGCUCCCCUCAAACUGGAACCCAGUUAGGGCACUGUGCCAACAUUUGUCAGCUGGUACCUGGGCAGCAAAGCCACACACUGGGAGGUGCGCGGGGCGCACUUUUAUCCUAGCAGAGCCAGGGGGUAAACUCAAGAAAGCUUUUCAAAACCUCACAGCCAUUCAGUGCCAGCCAUUCUGAUGUCCUGAUAAAUAAAAAUCAUACAGAAGUGGAGAAACCUUCCAAAGGUCACAGAGAAGCGGCUGGUGAUUUAAAUUCUUGCCGCGCAAAGUAAGACUCUUCAGUUGUCUCUGAGGUGUUACUUGGGAGAUCUGGGGGAUGUGUGCACAGUCCAUGAGAGGCCUCUAAUGUCCCCCAGGAGCGUCCACCAGGGCGGGAGACCUGGCUCCGUUACAGCCCCACAUGGGAGUGGCACGUGUGUAUGCACGUACAGCCAAGUUAGAACUUUAAAAAAUGAAGAAGAAAUUCCAAAAAAAUCUAAAAACGCAAAGGCACCAAAGUCCAUCUAGAAUGCCACACUUUUCUUUUAUGAAACCUACUACCCGAUCUAACGUGAAAGCUGUCUCUGGGUAAAAAUAGAAUACUUCUUUAAACUCUAAUCUUUAUAUUUCUGAGUCAAAAAGCACUUCCUGAAGCACAACGUGGCGGUGUAAGUAUUUCCAAAGCUUUAGAGGGAGUUAAAGAUCCUUUCAUCUUUCGUCUACAGCCAGGAAUUCACAUUCCUGUAGGAAACGCACUGUUUUCCCUGGGCCUUUUGUAGCCUAGAAGAUGGAGGCAGCAAAGAACAGGAGAAGCCCCCAGACCCUGUCCUGUGCUAUCCGUCCUUUGACGGGCUGAUGAGAAGGUGAUCAGGGGCGGCAGGCUGCAUCGUAUGAACUGUGACGAUCCCAGUGCCUGGCUUCCUGUCCGCGCUGGGACCCCUCCAGAUGUGGGGCCUGGGAAAAGGGCCUUUGCCACUCCCAAUUCGUGGCAUAAAGUGUAAUGCUCCGUGCAUGUUUCUUGAAUGAGCAAAUGAAUGAAUGAGUGAAGGAGUGAUUGAUCGAAUAAAUACGGAGUCUGUGGGGAGACCCUAUUGUUGUAUUUUUCCCAGCAGAAGAAAUUUUCCAGGCUGUUACACUAAUUAGGGCUAAUAUUCUCAGUUAUUUUGAGGAUAGCUUGAAAUUUGCUGCUAAUUUAAAUAAAAUGGUUACGUUUACUCAUUAACCAAUUAGCAUGCUUCCCAGCAGCUUCACCUCACUAAUUUGAUUAGUUACACUAUGCUUUCUCCUACCCAGAGCUGAGAACAUCACAACUAUAUCAGAGUAAACUUUUUAAAAAACACGGAAGCAGAAUCUCUCACAGGGUUUAAACACGGAUGUGAACCCAGUCCCUCUUUCCAGCUCACCGUGUCCCCACUAGAAGUUGCUCUAUGUUACCGUUCCUAUCACUAGACUAAUUGGUUUUUCAAGGAAAACAACUUUCCAAACUAUGGGGACUUCCUGAAACGCAACCUGUCUCCUAUGUUUGAAGAACGAAUGAUCGAAGCUGGAGGAGAAACUGGAAGCCAAAAUACAGGCCCCCUUCCUAGCCCUGUUUGUCAGUGACCUGCAGUACAUACGGGCUCAGGCUAGCCUGCUCAUAUCAUUUUCCUGUUUUCUUAUUUGUCAGAGGUGGAAGUGAUUUAGCAAAUAUCUAAGUUUCUGUGGCAGAGACCGGCUUCCUGGGCACGCAGAAAACCCUAGCUUCCCACACCCUCGGUAGUUAGCUGGCAGGGCUGUGUGACUGGCUCUGGUGAAUCAGACGUGAGAGGAAGUAAGGUGAGGCAUUUUUCAUCUGAGGUGUGAAAAUCAGAGUUCCAGGCACACUCUUCCCCUCUGAGGGGGGGUUGUGGGUGGAACUGUGUCCCUCAAAAGUUCGUAUGUUGAAGUCCUAAUCCCCCACCCCCCAGUAUCGCAGAAUGGGACCUUCUUUGGAAAUAGUCAUUGCAGAUGUAACUAGUUAAGUCAGGAUGAGGUCACACGGGAGUAGGGUGGCCCCUAAUCCAGUAUGGCUGGCAUCCUUACGACAAGGGACAGAGACCUGGGAGAACCCCACACGAAGGUGGUAUGCUACCACAAACAGCGUUCUUGGUAGCCAAGAACUACCAGAAGCUAGGAGAGAGGCCCGAAACAUCCUUUCCUGGUGCCUUCAGAGGGAGCACAGCUCUGCCAACACCUUGGUCUUGGACGUCUAGCUUCCAGAACUGUGAGACGAUAUAUUUCUGUUGUUUAAGCCACCCAGGCCGUGGUCCACUGUGAUGACUGCCUUAGGAAAUAAUCUAGGGGAAAGGCCACGUGGUCAGACAGCACAUCCACAAGGGAUGUCACUAAUGGCCUGAAGAGGCACUCUGCCUUUAGCCAGCUUUGUGAACAGAGUAAGAGAAAUGUCUAAAACCUGGAAAUAAGGCAACACGGGAGAGGAAACGGUCUGUCCUUUCAAUAUCCUACUGGGGCAUGAACAAGCCCACCCAAGGGUAUGCAAUUUUCCAGGAGAAUGUACCUGUGUUUGACUUUGUUAUUUACCUUUUGACUGGUACCCAAACACUAAGAAGUUAAAUGGUAACUUCCAGAUUUGUCUAGUAAAGAUCACACUAAAGGCUACGAUUUUAUUUCCCUAUAGGACAUUGACUGCUUUUGUAUCUAAUCUAGCAAUCUUAUUCUAACCUUCUUUUUUAGAAAAUGCCUAGAGGUCCUGAGCUCCUCAAAUGCUCUCCAGAAUUGCUUAACCUUCUUACUGGCUCCCUGAUUAAGGAAUUAAAUAAGUUUUUGUCACAUGUUCAUUUUGAUUUUAAGAAUCAUGUUUUACUUUUUUGAAUUGACAAAAUAAACUUGUUUGAUUAAUGGCAA
Felis catus (domestic cat) is the source of this 14069-nucleotide long non-coding RNA. RefSeq lists it as uncharacterized. Lineage: Eukaryota; Metazoa; Chordata; Mammalia; Carnivora; Felidae. The transcript has 3 exons. The record is from RefSeq and is a predicted model, not a curated record.